RNAcentral lists this ribosomal RNA (635 nucleotides) under uncultured Marinobacter sp. Its description in RNAcentral is "bacterial SSU rRNA". It matches the Rfam family "Bacterial small subunit ribosomal RNA", at positions 870 to 1504 of the family's 1533-position model. The record is from RNAcentral. Lineage: Bacteria; Pseudomonadati; Pseudomonadota; Gammaproteobacteria; Pseudomonadales; Marinobacteraceae.
CGCCUGGGGAGUACGGCCGCAAGGUUAAAACUCAAAUGAAUUGACGGGGGCCCGCACAAGCGGUGGAGCAUGUGGUUUAGUUCGACGCAACGCGAAGAACCUUACCUGGCCUUGACAUCCAGAGAGCUUUCCAGAGAUGGAUUGGUGCCUUCGGGAACUCUGAGACAGGUGCUGCAUGGCCGUCGUCAGCUCGUGUCGUGAGAUGUUGGGUUAAGUCCCGUAACGAGCGCAACCCCUAUCCCUGGUUGCUAGCAGGUAAUGCUGAGAACUCCAGGGAGACUGCCGGUGACAAACCGGAGGAAGGUGGGGAUGACGUCAGGUCAUCAUGGCCCUUACGGCCAGGGCUACGCACGUGCUACAAUGGCGCGUACAGAGGGCUGCCAACUCGCGAGAGCGAGCCAAUCCCUUAAAACGCGUCGUAGUCCGGAUCGGAGUCUGCAACUCGACUCCGUGAAGUCGGAAUCGCUAGUAAUCGCGAAUCAGAAUGUCGCGGUGAAUACGUUCCCGGGCCUUGUACACACCGCCCGUCACACCAUGGGAGUGGAUUGCACCAGAAGUAGUUAGUCUAACCUUCGGGAGGACGAUUACCACGGUGUGGUUCAUGACUGGGGUGAAGUCGUAACAAGGUAACCGUA